AAAGUACUCUGGCGCAGCCUGAUCCAGCAUGCCGCGUGCGUGAUGAAGGCCUUCGGGUUGUAAACUGCUUUUGUACGGAACGAAAAGGCUUCCACUAAUACUGGGGGCUCAUGACGGUACCGUAAGAAUAAGCACCGGCUAACUACGUGCCAGCAGCCGCGGUAAU
Molecule: ribosomal RNA, 166 nt
Filed under: uncultured bacterium
Lineage: Bacteria
Description: partial 16S ribosomal RNA
Rfam family: Bacterial small subunit ribosomal RNA
Source: RNAcentral